Pangasius djambal is the source of this 74-nucleotide non-coding RNA. NCBI's taxonomy places the organism in Eukaryota, Metazoa, Chordata, Actinopteri, Siluriformes, Pangasiidae. The record is from the annotation of a GenBank genome assembly.
GGCAGUGGUAGCUCAGUGGUUUAACUGUUGGACUACUGAUCGGAAGGUCACGAGUUCAAUCCCCAGCACUGCCA